UCGAGAAUUUUUCGCAAUGGGGGAAACCCUGACGGAGCGACGCCGCGUGGAGGAUGAAGGUCUUCGGAUUGUAAACUCCUGUCAUUGGUGAACAAGGGGCUCCUAUUAACUGUAGGGGUCAUUGCUAGUAGCCGAAGAGGAAGGGACGGCUAACUCUGUGCCAGCAGCCGCGGUAAUACAGAGGUCCCGAGCGUUGUUCGGAUUCAUUGGGCGUAAAGGGUGCGUAGGCGGCUUGCUAAGUUUGAUGUGAAAUCCUGGGGCUCAACCCUGGAACUGCAUUGAAUACUGGUGAGCUAGAGAUCUGGAGAGGAAACUGGAAUUUACGGUGUAGCAGUGAAAUGCGUAGAGAUCGUAAGGAAGACCAGUGGCGAAGGCGAGUUUCUGGACAGAUACUGACGCUGAGGCACGAAGGCCAGGGGAGCAAACGG
RNAcentral lists this ribosomal RNA (428 nucleotides) under uncultured bacterium. RNAcentral's name for it is "bacterial SSU rRNA". It matches the Rfam family "Bacterial small subunit ribosomal RNA", at positions 355 to 775 of the family's 1533-position model. The record is from RNAcentral.